RNAcentral lists this ribosomal RNA (390 nucleotides) under uncultured bacterium. RNAcentral describes it as "bacterial SSU rRNA". It matches the Rfam family "Bacterial small subunit ribosomal RNA", at positions 29 to 416 of the family's 1533-position model. The record is from RNAcentral.
AGUGAACGCUGGCGGCAGGCCUAACACAUGCAAGUCGAACGGCAGCACAGUGGAGCUUGCUCCAUGGGUGGCGAGUGGCGGACGGGUGAGGAAUACAUCGGAAUCUGCCCAGUCGUGGGGAUAACAUAGGGAAACUUAUGCUAAUACCGCAUACGACCUACGGGUGAAAGCGGGGGAUCGCAAGACCUCGCGCGAUUGGAUGAGCCGAUGUCCGAUUAGCUAGUUGGCGGGGUAAUGGCCCACCAAGGCGACGAUCGGUAGCUGGUCUGAGAGGAUGAUCAGCCACACUGGAACUGAGACACGGUCCAGACUCCUACGGAGGCAGCAGUGGGGAAUAUUGGACAAUGGGCGCAAGCCUGAUCCAGCCAUGCCGCGUGGGUGAAGAAGGCC